UGGCUCCCAAGCUGAGAACCAGGAGCCGGGGGAAAUCAUAGCGAAAUCUGAACCUGAUGUAGCCCCGUCAGCAUCACACACACACUCAGAGCAAAAUGGCCUGCUCUUCAAUGUAGUUUAGUUUAGUUCAAUUGUCCUGCCCACCCCCUCCUGACCCUCCUGCCGCGGAGGGGUGGUAUUUGAAAGCACAGCUUCUUUCUUCUCUUCUCCUUGGGACAGCAACGGCACAGAGAGUGGACCGCCAUCCCUUACUGCCCACUCAACCGUUGCUGGGGACUGAUUCUUUCAGCUCUACAUAGAAUUCAAGAACUAUAAUUGGAUCUGCUUCAGAACAGUAAUCCCCACAGCCUUAAAACAUGCAAAAUAAAAAUAAAUGAAUCAUCCAUCAGCA
Molecule: long non-coding RNA, 391 nt
Filed under: Pongo abelii (Sumatran orangutan)
Lineage: Eukaryota; Metazoa; Chordata; Mammalia; Primates; Hominidae
Description: lincRNA
Source: RNAcentral